CAGCACCUCAAGUGGUCAGGAUGAUUAUUGGGCCUAAAGCAUCCGUAGCCGGCGCUGUAAGUUUUCGGUUAAAUCUGUACGCUCAACGUACAGGCUGCCGGGAAUACUGCAGCGCUAGGGAGUGGGAGAGGUAGACGGUACUCGGUAGGAAGGGGUAAAAUCCUUUGAUCUAUUGAUGACCACCUGUGGCGAAGGCGGUCUACCAGAACACGUCCGACGGUGAGGGAUGAAAGCUGGGGGAGCAAACCGGAUUAGAUACCCGAGUAGUCCC
RNAcentral lists this ribosomal RNA (271 nucleotides) under uncultured archaeon. RNAcentral's name for it is "partial 16S ribosomal RNA". It matches the Rfam family "Archaeal small subunit ribosomal RNA", at positions 477 to 748 of the family's 1478-position model. The record is from RNAcentral.